UACACAAUUAGCCAAAAAAGCCGAAAUCUUGCUUUCCCAGCUGGUGCUUGUCCUACAAUAGGUGUUGGUGGACAUUUCAGUGGUGGCGGCUAUGGAACCUUGUUGCGUAAAUAUGGUUUAGCCGCGGAUAAUGUAAUCGAUGCUCACAUAAUUGAUGUGAAAGGUAGGUUACUUGACAGAGAAGCAAUGGGUGAAGAUUAUUUUUGGGCUAUUAGAGGUGGUGGAGGAGCAAGUUUUGGAGUCAUAAUUUCAUGGAAGAUAAAACUUGUUGAAGUUCCAGCAACAGUGACGGUGUUUACAGUUCCAAGAGCAUUGGAACAAAAUGCAACAAAGCUUGUUCACAAGUGGCAGUAUUUGGCAAGUAAAAUUGAUGAAAACAUAGCCAUCAAUAUUGUCUUUCAAAGGAUAAAUUCAAGUAAAAAAGGCGAGACAACAAUUCUAGCUAUAUUUCAAGCCUUGUUUCUUGGAGGUGUAGAUAAACUCAUUCCCUUGAUGGAUCAAAAGUUUCCUGAGUUGGGUGUGGUCAGAGAAAAUUGUAUUGAAAUGAGUUGGAUUGAAUCGGUUCUUUACCUUUUUCAAUUUCCGAAAGGUGCAUUACCUGAAGUGUUGCUUAACAGAACACUAGCUGCAAACAGCCCAAGAUUUAUUUACAAAGCAAAAUCUGAUUUUGUGAAAACUCCCAUUCCUGAAAAUGGAUUAGAAGGAAUAUGGUCUUUGUUUCAUGAAGAAGGUGCCAAAGGUGCAAUGAUGAUAUGGUUUCCUUAUGGUGGAAUAAUGGAUACUAUUUCAGAGUCUGAAAUUCCAUUUCCACAUAGAAAAGGAAAUUUAUAUCAUAUUCAUUACCAGGUUGAUUGGCAACAGGAAGGUGAUGAGGUGGAAAAACUGCACAUUAAUUGGAUUAGAAAACUUUAUAAUUACAUGGAACCUUUUGUUUCAAAGUCUCCAAGAGCUGGAUACAUCAAUUAUAGAGACCUUGAUAUUGGUGUGAAUAACAUUGAUGGAUACACAAGCUACAAGCAAGCUAGUAUCUGGGGUGUUAAAUACUUCAAGAACAAUUUCAGAAGAUUGGCAAAUGUGAAGACCAAAGUUGAUCCUCUAAACUUCUUCAGAAAUGAACAAAGUAUACCUUCUCUUGUGUCCAAGGGACACAAAUAAAUUAAUUGGAGUAGCUAAGGUCACGAUAAUAAAAAAUAAGCUGUUUUGUUAUUUCUCUUUUAUAUGUGUAUCUUUUCUUUAUAAAUAAAGGUUUAGGGGAGUGGGGUCUAGAGCUAAGGGGUAAAGGCUUCAAGGCUCAAAGAGCAUUUUUAGAGAGAUAAUUACAUAUUACAUGCCAACAAGGUCUUCUUCAAUCGGGAGCAAGAAGAUUUCCACAUCUUUUUUGGAUGAGUAUCUGAUGCAGCAUUCAUCAACCCCUAGAUAUUCUAUGUGUGUAUUUAUUUUUACAUGUUUGUUUACUUUUACUUAAAACAAUGAUACUUGAAUAAAUUACUAAAGUUUGGUGUUAAACUUGACAUAUAUUUGUGUUUAUUGAAAGGAUAUUCCUGCGAAAACUGCUGGUUACACCCCCUAUAUUUGUAGUUAGCCCUUUGACACCAUUUAAUCAACAAAAUGGCCAAAGAAUGCCUAUAACUAGCCGGUAACAGUUGCUAAAACUUUCGAGAUACAUGCUCAUAUAUCUUCAACGACAACUUUGAAUGACAUCACAAGUUAGCUAAACUAUCAGUACAUUUAUUAGUUUCUCGGAAAAUAUGCUUAAUUUUGGCCUCAUGAUCUUCUUAUUGGGAACAACAAGACCUCACCCAUUAGUCGCGCUUACAUACUUGCCCUACAAACAAUCAACUACAUUAACUUUAGAAUCCAUAAGAAGCCUCCUACAUGUUAAAUAUCUUUUUCUUGUGAAUUGAAGACCCUCUUAUCAUCUACUCCUAUGCUGGUCAGAGUUAUACCGAAAAAAUUGGACAAACCUCAAAUUUAAGCACCAUUUGCAUCCCUUAACACCCCUCCGAAACAUGUUAACCUAGAAUUUUGAUGAGCACGAUCCGUAUUGAUAUGAACGCAUCCUGGCAGGGGCAGUUUCCAGUUGAUACUCAUACACGUCUUCAUCUUUAUCGUUGGUUGAAAUAAGGCAGCAUCAUUAUGGUAGUCACUCACUUGUUUGAAAACAACAAUCCGAAGUUUGUUACGUAAAUUCUAGGAUAAGUAUGUUUAAGUAAAUUCUGUUCAAGUACACUUUUGGUGAGAUUUGAGAAUUUGAUAGAGUUUGGGAUAAUUUGGCUUAUUUUGGCUUUUUAAAACCUGCCAUGAUGUUACUUAGAAUUAUGGGAUGAAACUAUAAGUUGUAUUCCAUGCUCUGUUGUAAACAUUUUGAGAAUUACAUAAGUAUUUAUAUUGUUUACUGUUUUUAUGCAUUUCGAAUUUCAAUUUGUUUGGAAAAGAUAUAUUUGCACACAGUUUUUUAGAACUAGCAUGCUCAUGUUCUUGUAUAAAAAAAAAAAAAAAAAUCAAAAUGCUCAUAUAACAUGUUGGCUGGACCACCUUCAUGUUGUUCAACCAUCGCAAGUCCUCGUCUCCAGCUAUGAAAUGACGACUUGGAAGGCAACUAUUCCAGACUGGAUCAAGGUCCAAUCCUAAAGUGUGAAGGCUUAAUAAAGAUUCUGAUCCAAAUAUGGAUCACCUACUCCUACAUAAAUAAGGCUGCAAAACAGAGAAAGGGAUUACUCGGAUCACAAUCACACGAUUACUCGGAUCACAUGUCCAGACUGGAUCUAGGUACUCUUAUCACAAUCACACGAUUACUCGGAUCACAUGUCCGAGAAAGCACAACCGCCUAACAUCCUCGUGCUUACGCGGAAACUUCAACCGUCUAUAAAAAAGGAGUCACCCACUCUAAAAAAUUAGCACACUCUCAUUUAAAAAAAGCCUCUUUAUUACAAGUACAUCAUUUUGCUCCGGUGAAAGACAACCGCAUCCCACCUACUCUGGUCGUCGUCCUUACACUUUCUUUUCCACUUGAAAUGUAUAAUUUAAAGACUAAACUAAUUAAUUAAGUGGAUUGGAUUGAACCAAGUUAUAUUCUCUCCAAUUGUCAAUUGCAUACUACAAAACUAUUAUUUUUUUGUGCAAGUUAACUCUUUAUUAAAGCUUUGUUUUAAACAUAUUUCCUUGUCUCUGAAUUGGACUACGAUGUUUAAACAAGAAUUAAUACUUAAAUAUGUUUCUGAUAGAUGAGUUCAUUUUUAUAUAUUGAAAUAAGAAGCAUGCUCCCAAUUAGCUCGCUUUCUUUAUGCAAAAUUUAGAAUGGUAGUAAGUAGCAACAACCACUUCUUAUCAAAUAAAAAAUUGAUUUCAAUGAAGUUAGAUAAAACAACAAAAGAAAAAACACCAUACCCUGCCGGCUUAACAGGGAGAACUAUUGUAUAAAAUUGAAAAAGUCAAGAUUCAAAUGUGUAGUUUCACAUGCUUGACUUGUCUACCAUAGUAGUUUUAGCAGAUACUUUAUUUAGGAGAUAAGCGUUUGAGAAAUUUUUCAUAAGUUGUUUUUCAACUUAUUUCUAUAAAAAUUCCUAGGAUAACUUAUGAUAACGGUUUAUAAUAUAUGAAAACAGACUGUUUUAUUCUUUCUUUUUUGUAAUAUAGUUUAUAAAAUGAAACGAAAAAAAUUAUACGUAAGCACUUAUUUGAUAAGCGGUUAUGUAAUAAGUGUUUAAUUUGUCUAUCCACUGUAGAUUUAUUCUCUACACCCACUAGAGUCUAAAAUCUAGCACAAGUGGUUGGUGCGAAGUUUAAAAAAAUGAAACAAAAUAAAGUUUACAUAAGCACUUAUUUAAUAAGCGGAUUAUAGAUUUCAACUCCAAAUUAUUCUAUAUACCAAUAAAAAUUAGAGCAUAGAGUGACACUUAUAAAUUUGAAGCAUCUUAUGCACAACACUACACUAACAAAAAAAUGAUGCAUCUAGGCUCAUACUUGUCUAUUGUACUAAUUGCUAUUUUAUUUUCAUUUACAUCUUCAGCAAUUGGUACUACUACUACUACUAAUGAAGAUAAUAGCUUCCUUCAAUGUCUCUAUAGCUAUUCACAUAACUCCACUUCAAUCUCUAAAGUUGUGUACACCAAAGCCAAUUCAUCAUACACAUCAAUACUCCAAUUUUCAACUCAAAAUCUCAGAUUUGCAACCAACAAAACACCAAAACCACUUGUAAUUGUCACACCUCUAGAAAUUUCCCAUAUUCAAGCAACCGUAAUUUGUUCCCAAUACCACAGCCUGCAGAUUCGAAUUCGCAGCGGCGGUCACGACUUUGAGGGUCUGUCUUAUGUCUCUGAAGUUCCAUUUGUUGUCAUUGAUCUCAUAAACUUCAGAGAAAUUGAAAUAAAUGUACACAAAAAAACUGCAUGGGUUCAAUCUGGUGCAACACUUGGUGAACUUUACUACGCAAUUAGCCAAAAAAGCAAAACUCUUGGUUUCCCUGCAAGUGUUUGUCCUACUGUAGGUGUUGGGGGACACUUCAGUGGUGGUGGAUAUGGAACCUUGUUGCGUAAAUACGGUCUUGCAGCCGAUAACAUCAUUGAUGCCUACAUAAUUGAUGUGAAGGGUAGGUUUCUUGACAGAGAAGCAAUGGGUGAGGAUUUCUUUUGGGCUAUUAGAGGUGGUGGAGGAGCAAGUUUUGGUGUCAUAGUUUCAUGGAAGAUUAAACUUGUUGAAGUUCCAUCAAUUGUGACAGUGUUUACUGUUCCAAAAACAUUGGAACAAAAUGCAACAAAGCUUGUUCACAAGUGGCAAUUUUUGGCAAGUAAACUUGAUGAAAAUAUAGCCAUGAAUAUUGUCUGGCAAAGGGUAAAUUUAAAUUCAAGUAAAAAAGGUGAGUCAAAGUCACCGGUACUAGUUUUAUUUCAAGCUUUGUUUCUUGGAGGUGUAGAUAAACUCAUACCCUUGGUUCAAGAGAAGUUUCCUGAGCUUGGUUUGGUUAGAGAAUAUUGUAUUGAAAUGAGUUGGAUUGAAUCUGUUCUUUACUUUUUUCAGUUUCCAAAAGGUUCUACACCUGAAGUGUUGCUUAACAGAACACAAGCUACACUUGAUAUAUUCAAAGCAAAAUCUGAUUUUGUGAGAAUUCCAAUUCCUGAAACUGGAUUAGAAGGCAUAUGGCCUUUAUUUGAUGAAGAGGGUUCCAAAGAUGCAAUGAUGAUAUGGUUUCCAUAUGGUGGCAAAAUGGAUACUAUUUCAGAGUCUGAAAUUCCAUUUCCUCAUAGAAGUGGAAACUUAUUCAUGAUUCAAUACUCGGUUCAUUGGCAUCAAGAAGGUGAUGAGGUGGAAACACUGCACAUUAAUUGGAUUAGAAAACUGUAUAGUUAUAUGGAACCUUUUGUUACAAAGUCUCCGAGAGCUGCAUAUAUUAAUUACAGAGACCUUGAUAUUGGUGUGAAUAACAUUAAUGGGUACACAAGCUAUAAGGAAGCUAGUAUUUGGGGUGUUAAGUACUUCAAAAAUAACUUCAAAAGGUUGGCAAAAGUUAAGACUAAAGUUGAUCCUCUAAAUUUCUUCAGAAAUGAACAAAGUAUACCUUCUCAUGUGUCCAAGGGACGCAAAUAGAGUUUUCUGGAGUGGCAUAGGUCAUAAUGAUAAAAUAGUAGCUGCUUUGUUAUUUAUCUUUUAUAUGUGUAUCUUUUCUUUGUUAUAAUAAAAGUAAAUUGAUUUUUAUUUGUGUGUAAAGCAUCAAUCCUACGGGGUUUGGUGUGUGUAUUUGUAUUAAUAUAUAAUAUAUAAUAUAUGAGAUAUAUCACUUAUCAUAUGUGGAUAAAUAUCGCUCCAAACUUUUAUUUAAUGUUCUUUAUACAGGGGUGCCCUUGAGGAUGGGUGGGUGGGAGGGGCGGCAGUCCAGGGCACCAAAAUUAUUAUUUUUACUUAAUAGUUAGUACAAUAUAGAUAUAUGAUAAGAGUUAAAUACAUAUAUUUUAGGCACUUUAAUUACUUGUUUUACAAGUUAUCUCAUGAAAAGCUCCAAAAUAAUAGAUAAAUGGAAUUUUAUGCUUUUUAUGUCUAAUACCAACCAAGUAUGUAGGAAUUUGCUUGCCAAGGGAUUUAAAGAUCAAAGAAAGUGAAGAAAAUAAGAUGUUGUUAUCGUGGCUAAGCUAGAAAAUCAGAUGAUGUCACCAUGGCCACGACGAGCCUGCAGCGAGGCCAUGGCCAUGAGGCUCGCCACAACGAGCCUGCAAUGGAGUCACAACGAAACAAGUCAUAGAUCAUGGAAAUCCUGCAAAAUUGUGUGUGGCUAAGCGAUCCUGGGCGUCGCCAUGGCGAGCAAAGGCGGUUUUGACAGCUCCAAUGUUGAUGUGGCAGAAAUCCACUGGUGAAGAAAGCUUCGCUCACCACGGUGAGCCUGGGUGUGACUAAGUUACGGUGCAAUUUUUCAGAAAGUAUAUAAAUAGCCCCAAACCUCAGAACAAGUGGAAUUAUGUCAUUUUUAGGGAGAGGAAAACAGAGAAACAUAGAGAGACCCUAAAAACAAAGCGUAGUAUAAAUGAUUUUUUAGAUUAAGAGUUUACUCACAAAGAUUUUUUAUGGAAACUUACUCACAAAGAUACUCAUUAUUAUUCGCAAAGAAAAUGAUAAAACAAAUGAAAAAAGAAACCUCAACCCAUGGCCGAAAAGAAUAAUUAAACGGGUGUUUGUGCACAUAGUUGUCGUUGUCGUUUUAAGUAUCUUGAUAUUUUUGGGGUGUUAAAGACCAAUUUUUAAAGUUAGAAGAGCAAUUUCCAACUACUAAAACCCUUAUUUCUCUAUUUCGGUGCCUAAACGGUGAAAUAAGUUUGGAGGUUUUGUGUUUAUUGCUAGUUACACCCACCUUCGUCUUCUUAGUUACACCUAGUCACCAUUUCAUCAACAAAAUGCACAUCCUUUUAAGUCCUUCAAUAAUUUUUCUUAAACCUCCCCUAAUAUUUUCUAUCGACAAAUUUAGUCCCCAGUCCUUAAAGGUUAUACACAUGGCAGUGUAUAGAGGGUCUAAAAAUAAAAAAGGACGAACUUAUAGUGACAAAAAAUUUGUUAAAAUAAGUUUUUGAUUGUUAUAAAUAUAUCAUUUUUCAUUUGUAAUCUCUUUAUAGUAUAACUUAUUUAAAUGGUGAAGAUCAAAUUUAUUGUCGAAAAAAUAUUUGAAGGAUCAUCGUUUAGAAAAUAAAUAAAUUAGAGGGACAAAAUAUGAAAAAUGGUAUCAUUUAAAUUAAAAAAUAACAUAAUACAUAAAUACAAUGAAAUACAAUAAAAAAAUUCGCAUAUGAUCGUCUUUCCGUUGGUAAUAAUAAUAUAAUAAUCUAUAACUUUAUGUUUGGCUUGACUUAUUUUGUAUUAAAAACUACUUUGAAAGUAAAGAUAAAGAUAUCAGAUUUAAAAAUAGAAUUAAGGUUUACUUUUCUCACAAUUAUUGUUAUGAGUAUCUGUUACCUUAAAAUAUAUUGUUUUUAUGGAAUGAUAGUUUUUUUUUUUUUUUUUUUUUUUUUUUUUUUUUUUUUUGUAAAUCAAAGCAUCUCUGUGAACAACGUCAUAUAUUAAUUCCUUAAUGUAAGAAAAAAAUUAUUUAAGAGAUAGAUCUCUUACAACAACAACAACAAAAUUUUCAUUCUCAUAUGUUAGGAUUGAAUUUUGAACCAAAUGAUUAAAAGACUUAACUAUCUAUCAUUUAUGUCACAUUAUUUGGUGCAAUGGUAGAAUUUAACUUAAAUACUUAAUAUUUCAUCUGUCCUAAAAUUAUUGACCUACUUACUUGGUCAUCCCAAAAUUAUAAAUGAAAGAGAGAUAAAUAUUUUUACUAAAGUGCCCUAUCAUGUAUUGAUCUAAUUGUAAGUAUCAUAAAUACAAAGUAUAAAAAAUAUCCAAAAUUAUAAAUAAAAUAGAGAUAAAUAUUUUUACUAAAGUGCCCUUAUCAUGUAUUGAUCUACUUGUAAGUAUCAUAAAUACAAAGUAUAAAAAAUAUUGAAUUUAGAGAGAUGUUAGUAAUAUUAAUUAGAAUGUAAUUGAAAAGAAAGUAAUUAAUCUUCUUAAUUUGCUUAUCUUUUUUACAGUACAUUUUUUAAAACCAGAUACAUAUAAGAAACUUUCGAAAAAGUAGUUGAAAGAACUUGCCAAAUCUAGUAGAAAAUCUUUGUAAAAUUUAUCUAUUUUUUACUAUCUCAAUCCAAAAAUAUUGUUUGACCUACUUUUUGUACGGUAAGCUAACAACAUUUUCAAAACAUUAAAAUCGAUUAUCUUCUUCUUCAAGUAGUUGACAGUUAAACACAGCAAGAUUUUCUUGUUUCACAAGGACUCUCUCUUGUCUCAAAUUCUCAAUCUUUUUCCUGUUAAGAUGCAUACAAUUGUAGCAUCCCUUGUUCCAUUCUUCUUAGUAUUCCACAUUCUAGUACCAGUGUCUUCUUCAGAUUCUUUGAUCCAACAUAAUAAUAUUAAUACCAAUAAUACCCUUCUUCAGUGUCUUUCUCUCUAUUCAGAAUCUUCUAAUCCAAUCUCAGAAGUUACCUAUUUCCCAAACACACCUUCAUAUUCACCCACCUUAAACUCCUACAUCAGAAACCUUAGAUUCAACUCAUCCACUACUCCAAAACCAGUUUUCAUUCUAACCCCAUCUCACAUCUCUCACAUCCAAGCAUCAAUCAUAUGCUGCAAAAAAUUCAACCUUGAAAUCAGAAUACGAAGUGGUGGUCAUGACUAUGAUGGUCUUUCUUAUGUAUCAGAAAAACCCUUCAUUGUUCUUGACAUGUUCUUGCUUAGAUCAGUGGUUAUUGACUUAAAAGAUGAAUCUUUGUGGGUUGAAUCAGGUGCUACAAUUGGUGAAGUUUAUUAUAGGAUUUCUGAGAUUAGUAGUGUUCAUGGUUUUCCAGCUGGGGUUUGUCCUACUGUUGGUGUUGGUGGACAUUUUAGUGGUGGGGGGUAUGGUAACAUGAUGAGAAAAUUUGGGUUAUCUGUUGAUAAUAUUUUGGAUGCUAAGAUUGUUGAUGUUGAUGGAAGAGUGCUUGAUAGGGAAUCAAUGGGGGAAGAUGUUUUUUGGGCUAUUAGAGGUGGUGGUGGAGCUAGUUUUGGUGUUAUUGUUUCUUGGAAGAUUAAGUUGGUUUCUGUGCCGGAGAUCGUAACUGUUUUUAGAGUUGAAAAAACAUUGGAACAAGGUGGUGGUGAUAUUGUUCAUCAAUGGCAAUAUGUUGCUGAUAAGAUACAUGAUGGGUUGUUUAUUAGAGUUGUUGUUAGUCCUGCGAAGAGAAAGGGGAAGAAGACAAUUAAGGCUAAGUUUAAUGCUUUGUUUCUUGGUAAUGCAUAUGAGUUGCUUGAUGUGAUGAAUGAGAGUUUUCCUGAAUUGGGCUUGAUUGGUGAACAAUGUAUUGAAAUGAGUUGGAUUGAUUCAGUGUUGUUUUGGUAUAACUAUCCGGUAGGGACUUUGACUGAUAUUUUACUUGAAAGACAUUCAUCAAAAGAGAAAUUCUUGAAGAGGAAAUCAGAUUAUGUGCAGAAGCCGAUUUCAAAAAUUGGGUUUGAUGGUAUAUGGAAGAAGAUGAUUGAACUAGGAAAGGUUUCACUCACAUUCAAUCCUUAUGGUGGGAAAAUGGGUGAGAUUUCUGAGAUGGCAACACCAUUCCCACAUAGAGCAGGUAACAUAUAUAAAAUUCAGUAUUCAGUUAACUGGAAAGAAGAAAGUAAUGAUGUUGCGAAUCAAUAUUUGGAUCGGAUUCGAAAGCUUUAUGAUUACAUGACACCUUAUGUGUCAGAUUCACCAAGAAGUUCAUAUGUGAACUAUAGAGAUGUUGAUAUAGGUGUCAAUGGAGAUGGGGAUGUUAGUUAUGAAAAAGCUAGUAUUUGGGGUAAAAAGUAUUUCAAAGGAAACUUUGAUAGGCUUGUAGAGGUUAAAACUGCAAUUGAUCCAAGUAAUUUUUUCAAAUAUGAACAAAGUAUUCCAUCACUUGCAUCUGAGACUAGUAUAAUGGCAGAAUACAGGCAGCCAUCAAAGGGUGUAUCAUUAUAGGAGGUAUCUAGAAGCAUGUUAAUAUCAUGGAAAACUAGUUCAGACCCAGAUUGAACAUUAAAGUAUGUCAGAAUAUUUGAUUGGUUAGAAGUUAGUACAUUAUACAUUCUCAAAUUGUAUCUUCCCUGCUUUGAGGGACUUAGUUCAUCUGAGUUGUAAGUUGAGAUGGCCAAUGAUGUAUAGAUUAAGAAUUUGGUGUUGUAGGCUUGUAGCUAAUGCCAUUAGGCUGUAGAUUGAUACUUUAAGCAAGAUGAUAUUCUAAUAUAAUUUAUUGAAAGUUUUAGAAAACUUGUUUAGUUUGUUUUGACUAAAACAUGUAUGCUCAUGUUGUCUCAUUUGUUUUAGAAAAAUUAAAGAGUAGGGUGAUAUAAGAUUCCCUCAUUUCAAGUAACAACAUAAUUGCCACUUGAAAUGAUUCAAGUUCUAUUUAAUUAGAUCAACUUUUUAGUUCUUUCUUUGGUAAAUAUCAUAUUCACUAAUCACAUCAUAUAUAUGUUAUCUUCUUUUGAUUAUUUGUGCACAUCAAAUAUUUUUUAACAAAACAAUCUACUGUAUAUCAAGUUUUAACAAGUUGCAAUGGUCAUCUAUCAUAAUGUUUAUUGAGAUAUUUUAUACGAUGAAUGAUAUAUCAAAGUAUAGUCAUCAAUAUUUUUUUUGAAGAAACUAAUUUAUUCAAAACACAAAGAAUCCUAACGAACACAAAAAAUGCUAGAUUAGGAAUCUUAAAGUAACAACAUAUAAAGGAAGGCCUAAUAACAAAUAGCCCCUCAACAUCAAAACAACAUAAACUCCCUAAAAAACCUCCUUAGUUUCCAGCUUCAUAAAUAGAAGAGGAAAUUUGGAAACAAUAAAUAACAGGAACUGGAAGCACACAGUACCAAAGCAACCUUCCUAAACAAAAAAUCCCCACACUUGCUGACCACAGCCGAAGCACAACCCUGCUGCCAUGACAGCAGCCUCACCAAAAACAAGGCAAAAGGAAGACAACCUGCUACAGACGCACAGGACAGCAGCCCCUACGAGUGACAGAAUUCAACCAUAGCCUAAACAAUAACAAAAAAACAGCAGCAAACACGUGCAGUCGACGAACAAACAUCGCCUCAAUAAGCAUUCCCGAGAGCUCCAACACCAUUCAUAAAACAUACAUGCCGAAAUAUUAAAUCUCCCUAAUAACCACUUCCAUGAUAUAACCUUAACCUCCUCCACUAACUCAUCCCACAUAGUUUAUCUCGUUAUUGAAAUUACAACCAUUUAUCGUCCUCCAAAUGACCCAAAUCACAACCUCCCAAAUCAACCGCAACCCCUUUCGGUUUUUAUUUUUUAUUUUUUUUAUUUAUGAAUAGGACCUCCACUCCAACACUCCCAAUGAAGAAACCCAUAAAAAAACAUAACUACCACCAAAAACCACCACUAGCCACCGCAAAAACCAGCACUACCACCACCACCAAAACUACCAAUAACCACCACAAAAAACACCAUAAAUCCUCACCAAAAACCAUCACCAUCUACCACUAGCAUCACCACCAAAAACUAACACCAGCCACCACGAGCAUCACCGCCAAAAAACCACCACGAGUACCACCACAAAAAACCCAGUAUCAACACCACCAUAGAAACCACCGCGAACCACCACAACCCAACACAACGAAAAAUCCAUCAAAACCAUAUCAGAUCACCACGUGACCGAUCCAUCACUGCCCACGUUGCGAGCAAACAAAACCUACAUCCACCGCCAAGAAAGAAAACGGAUCUGAUAUCAACCACCACAUACCAAAAAGACAAACACAAGUCAUCGGUGUUGAACGGCCGGAGAACCAGACUCCAACACAUUUCACGACUCCACAAGAGGUCGACUGCCGAAACCACCGCCAAAACCACUGUACAAGACCAUCGGCAGAUCUGGAGGUAGGUGGUGCAGAGGGCUUAAGCCGCUCGUCGCACCACCAUAAACGGCUUCUACAUGGUAAGAAGAUAGAUUGGAUUAUUGGAUUCAUCAAUAUUUUAGUUUAAUUCGCAUUUGGAUUUAAUUAAUAUACAAAGUCGGUGUAAAUAUUUUUUAUACAAUCAAUCAAAAUUGUCAAAUCAUUAAAAAUAUUUGAUUUUAAUCUUAAGUACUUUUAAAAUCACAUGUAUAAUUGAUUGUAAUUUGUUGGAAGUUUUUUUAUAUUGAUAAUAUAUCAAAAUAAAACUCUUCUUACUUGCAACAAUGUAUGUUUCUUCUACUCAAACAUUUCAUCAAACUCUAAUACUAUUAAAUUAAAUGAGUUUAAUAGAGAUAUAUUGUUGUUGUGUGAGUACAACUCAGUCGGUUACUGUAAGGAAAAUAACAUGCAAGAAUCAGGGUUUGGAUAUGAGAUUCUUCACUUCUCCACACUUAAAAUUCGUGAGUCCAGCCAUCACUAAACUACUUGAUAAAAAAAAAUUACAUAAUUGUUUACGUGUACAUCUAAUGAGAACUCAUAUAUUAUCACACAAAUCUAUUUUGUAAUUGCAAUUUAAACAAACAUAGCUAUAACCAAUUUGGUGAAUUGUUAUUGAUGUCAAUGUAAAACUAGCGUACACUAACGAUGUCUAUCCCUUUUUCCUUCUUGAAAUAAUCAAUAUAUUCUUUUUAAGAAAACAAACCAUACAAUUAUUUAAAAAUAGUAUUUUCUUUUUGAGAUGUUAUGAGAUAUAUUUGUAAACCUAUUUUAUCAUACAAAUUAGAUUUUUAAAAUUGUAUAUUUGGUUCUGUAAAAAAAUAAAUUAUACUAGGCUUAGCUAACUUUUUAGUCCCUUAAUACAUUUUUGAUGUAAAAAUUGACUACCUAUCCUUAAUUAAUACAUUUAAGUUCAUGUCUAUCAAAUUGACUAAAAUAUCAUCGGUUAAACUUUUAAUCUCACUAAUUUCGUAGGUUUCAUGGUCAUUUUUCCAGUGAAAUGUGACUUUGCUUUCUUAACUUAUCAAGUUACUACAAGUUCACCUUCUUUCAAAGAAAAUUACCACAAAUUCACCUAAAAAAAGAUCACUUUGCUGAUGUAUGAAAAAUGAUGUCCCCACAUGUUAUAGGGCUGAAGAACUAUUGUAAAACACCAAAAUACCCUCUUGACAGUUAAUUGUCGACGCUGAUUUGGUAUCUUGAAUUUGGCAACGAAGAAGAUGAUGAUGAUGAUGAUUUUAGGUUUUCAUUUUACUCGGUAGUUAGCUGUCGAAGUUUUCCUCGGCAUUAACUACAACUAAUUCUUUAAUUUCUCGGCAGUUAACUGCCGAGGGGGUAGUAUUGGGUUAAUGGUGUUCUUUACCCUUGUAAUAUAUGCAAUUUUUGGUUUUCGCCCCUAUAAAAUUUUUCGGUUUGAUUUGCACUCUUGUACAAUUUUUAUUUUUCGAAAAACACCUUUAAUAGGUCAUUCAAAAACCAAAAUUUCUUGAAAAAAUUCUAAAAAUGACCUAUUAAAGGUGUUUUCCAAAAAAAUUGUUACAAGGUAAAAAAACACUAUUAACCUUUUGGUAUUUUACUUGUGUUUUUUAACCUUAUAAAACAUGUGUGAACAGCAGUUUUCCUAAUGUAUUAUUCCUUCAAAAUGGACAAUGUGGGUAAGUCUAGAAAUUACUAAAAAAAAAAAUUACUUGUCACUCAUAAUUAGAUAAAGAAAAACAUGAGAAAAUCAAAGUUACGAAUGUAAGGAACGAACCGAUGAAAGGUGUUUCAAAACACUUAACUUUGCUACGAACAACAUGGUUGCGCAGUUGUUCAUACGUUUCAUUCCAACCCAACAUAGCCCCAGAAACUAGUUCACUUCUCAAUCACUGCUACAACAGAGAUCUUCCCAGAGCCAUGCAAAUCUUGGAUACCAUGGAAAAACGCGGUGUCUUUGCUGAUGCAAUAGCGUAUUCUGAACUCAUCAAGUGUUGUUUAGCUCAUAAAGCUGUAAGAGAAGGAAAACGCGUUCAUAACCAUAUAUUCUCAAAUGGGUAUCGCCCAAAAACGUUUUUGAUCAAUACCCUUCUCAAUAUGUAUGUGAAACUUAAUCUUUUGGAAGAAGCACAGAUGGUGUUUGAUAAAAUGCCUGAACGGAAUGUUGUUUCGUGGACUACUAUGAUAUCGGCUUAUUCUUAUGCGAAGCUCAACGAUCGAGCUAUGAAGCUUUUAGUUUUUAUGAUUAGGGAUGGUGUCAUGCCUAAUAUGUAUACCUUUUCGUCUGUUUUGAGAGCGUGUGAGAGGCUAUGUGAUCUCAAACAGGUGCAUUCGGGUAUAUUGAAAGCGGGGUUGGAGUCGGAUGUUUUUGUUAGGAGUGCGCUUAUUGAUGCUUACUCGAAGUUGGGUGAGUUGUUGGAAGCUGUAGGUGUGUUUCGUGAGAUGGUGACUGGAGAUUCUGUUGUUUGGAAUUCCAUUAUUGCUGCUUUUGCUCAGCACAGUGAUGGGGAUGAAGCUUUAGCUUUGUACAAGAGCAUGAGGAGAGAAGGGUUUCCAGCUGAUCAGUCAACACUCACGAGUGUUUUGAGAGCAUGUACUGGUUCAUCGUUAUUGGAGUUAGGGAGGCAGGUACAUGUACAUGUGUUGAAGUUUGAUCAAGAUCUUAUUCUUAACAAUGCACUUUUAGAUAUGUAUUGUAAGUGUGGUAGUUUGGAAGAUGCAAAAUUCAUUUUCAGUCGGAUGGCUGUUAAGGACGUAAUCUCAUGGAGCACCAUGAUUUCAGGGUUGGCCCAAAAUGGUUUCAGUGUGGAGGCACUCAAUUUGUUUGAUUCCAUGAAAGUCUCGGGUCCAAGACCAAACUAUAUUACAAUUCUUGGGGUUCUGUUUGCAUGUAGUCAUGCAGGACUAGUAAAUGAAGGUUGGGGCUAUUUUCGAUCAAUGAAGAACCUUUACGGGAUAGAUCCUGGAAGAGAACACUAUAGUUGCUUGCUUGAUCUUCUUGGAAGAGCAGGGAAGCUUGAUGAAAUGGUUAAGUUGAUUCAUGAAAUGACCUGCGAGCCGGAUGUUGUGACAUGGAGGACUCUGCUUGAUGCGUGCAGGGCCCAAAGGAAUGUAGACUUAGCCACAUAUGCUGCUAAGGAGAUUCUAAAGUUGGAUCAACAGGACGCAGGAGCCUAUGUAUUGUUAUCUAAUAUUUAUGCAAAUUCAAAAAGGUGGGAUGAUGUUGCAGAAGUUCGGAGGACUAUGAGCGCAAGGGGGAUAAGGAAAGAACCUGGAUGUAGUUGGAUUGAAGUCAAUAACCAAAUACAUGCUUUUAUUGUGGGAGAUAAAUCUCAUCCUCAAAUAGAUGAGAUCAAUAGAAAGUUAGACGAAUAUAUUCGUAAACUAACUGAUGCUGGCUAUGUUCCUGACACGAAUUUUAUGCUAAAAGAUCUUGAAGGGGAACAGAGUGAAUACUCCCUUCGACACCACAGUGAAAAACUGGCAAUUGUUUUUGGUAUUAUAAGCUUUCCUAGGGAGAAAACUAUUAGAAUAUGGAAGAAUCUAAAGAUCUGUGGCGAUUGUCAUAUAUUUGCGAAACUUAUAGCAAAGCUAGAGCAGCGGCACAUUGUAAUUAGAGACCCUAUUCGAUAUCAUCAUUUUCAAGAUGGGGUCUGCUCAUGUGGUGACUAUUGGUAGCAGAUAAGAUGUUCAAGACAGAAUCUUUGAUUGCCAUUACAUUCAAAACAGCAUAGAUGAAUCCAUUUUGCUUUCAGCAGCAGUGGCGUUUCUAAUAGUUAGUAUGUGAGUCAGGUUGAAUACAUUUUUCUUUCGCAAUUUCCUUUAUUUGCUUGUGUAUUUGCCUUUGUAAAAGAAAAUUAAUCACUAUUCUGAGCCUAGUUUUAGCAAAUCAAUACAAGGGUCAAUAUCUUUGUAUACUGAAAAAUAACUAGUUAUCCAAACUAGAUCCAGCCCAGUAACAGUUUGAUGAAUCUAGUGAAAGUUAAAGUAGUUUCAUUAUGAACUAGUAAAUCUUUCUUUGAUCCUUCUGUUUCUUAUACAUGUAAAUUAUUCUUGCAGCUUAUGAAUUGAAAUGUCCAGAAAUUUUCAAUAUUUAAAUCCUUUGGGCAGACAAAGGCUCCUUCUAAGGUAAAUGCAUCUGUUUUGUUGCUAGAAUUAUUACAUAUUAUUUUCUGCAUACUUACACCAGGGUAUGUGUAUGUCUAAUGAUAAUUUUGUUAACAUGUUUUAUGGAAUUUGAGCCAAUUUGUCUUGCUGUUUUUCAUUUUAAAGUCACUUGGCUUCUUUGGUAUUGGCCUUUUUCCAGCAGCAACACAAUUGGCAAGAAUUGUGCUUUAAUUCCUAGCUACACAUUUUGAUUUUAGAGGCUUUGACUGGAAUGAGGAUGAAAUAUUUAUACACAAUUGGCAUUAAUUUUAUGGAAUUCAGGGUUAUAAUAUUUAUACACAAUUGGCAUUAAUUUUAUCAUCCAGGGUUAUAAUAUUUAUACACAAAUUUUAUUGCAAGAGCAAUUUUAUAUCAUAAGUUUAUUUUAUCCCAUAUUUUGGUGUUGUGGCAUGAAAUAUUGUACUACUUGAAAAUAGAACAAAUAUAUUGAGUUGUGUGAUAAUAUGUGGUGUAGGCCAUCUCGAGAUUGGCUUUCUCUUUAAAGUGUAAGAUACCGAUUACCACUGUGGUGUAGGCCAUUCUUGACUUAGUUCCAACUAAAAGCUAACAUUUUCAGUCAAAUCUGGGAAGACUCAUGCUAAGCACUGCAAUUGAUUUUUUUUAUUUUAAUUACGUGUUUCAACCAGUUUUUUUCCCCAGUAACUCUGCAACCUCUUCCAUUUCCCUUCCUUCCUAAUUUUAUAUAGUAUGUGCUUUACUUGACAUCAACUAUGAGGCUGACUCUUUUACACAUCCUGCCACCAGUGCUCUUUAUUUUACAUUUCCAUUGCAAAAUAUGUGAAGAUGAUCCUGCUUGUGGAUGGGAAUUUUUUUCUAGGAAAUUCACUCCUGCAAGUUGCAGCCGCUGUCCAGGAUUGACUACCUAGCCUGCAACACUGGAAAUAUAUCAUGACUUGGCUCUGUAUCCAUAUAUCGUUUAGAGGUUAGAUUUGGGAACCCUUGGUAUGAUGGAUGUUUAUUUUGUGAUGAGGAUGUUGGCUGGGGUAGGUUUAGCAGGCAUGUGUCUUGAAAACACUAUUUUCACAGUGUGUUGCGAUUAAAACUAGUAGCUUGAGUUGAUCGCAUACCGCAGUUCCAAACACACAAUUAGACGGCAGUUACAGAACUUGGAGUGCAGGGCUAAUGGAUGACAUUUUAGUGGGGAAUUAUCCUGGGAGUUGUUGAGACUUUUGUAGUAUUUGACAUGCGAACAGAACAGAACAAAUGUUCUGUUUUUCUUGGUUUCAUCUUUUCAAAGGAACCAAAAUGUAUUUAUUUAUUUACCUUAUAUCCUGAUUUAUUUAAUUUUAUCAUGUACCCUGCUCUAACUUAUCUACCAAAAGCCACACCUACAUUUGGCUGGCUUGAUGGAGCAAAAUCUGGCUGCUGCUGCCUGCUGUUGUGUUGGGUAAUUAGAUUUAGGAGGGAAAAGUGCUGGUGAGGUUGUCAGGUUGUAGAUGAUUUUUUAUAUUGUCUUUAAAGCUCAAAGACCAGAUGAGAUCUAUACAAGUUUUUACGACUCCUGAACCACCGAUGAGUUGGCAAUAUUUUUUAAAAUAUUUCUAUGAUAAAUGUUAUAUGGCAUUAACUCUUCUCACUUCCAAAAUCACCUUAGAUGUACACAUCUGAAAACAAACACAAUUUUUGUGCCGUCCGGAUGUGUACUACAAAAAUACAGUUUUUCUUAGGUCCGAAAAUAUGCUUCCAGAGGUUUAAUUAUAAAUGUGGAGAGUGGUUGAACUUGUUUUCUUAUGAUAAUAUAGUACUAUAAGACUUUCUUAUGAUAACCCUGCAUGUUAUUGUAUGGAUCAUUUACAACCGUUACACAGUGCUGAGACAUGCAGAACAGUCAGAUUUAAAGAGAGUCCCUCAAUAUUUCAGUUUAGUCAAUAAAUGUAAUGUGAAAUAUGAUUGGAAUAAACAAUUCAUUGCCACAAGUUUGAAAGGUAUGGCGGGACUCUGCAGUUUAUUCCCCUCUGCACUUGGUUGGGAAUAUGCUGAACAGAACCAGACUUUGUAUAAAUAUAUACGUUAAAUUACACCAGAGGUCCUUUAAUUAAAUAACUUAAAGAACUUCUGAUGUAAUUUUGCCAAAUAUAUAUGAUAUGUUCACAAAAUUCAAGACUUUACUCAGUAUUAUGUUUUUUUGGUAUGAAGUCUUAUGGUACUAUAUUACGAAAGAUGAGACAUACAAUAUAGGUCUAGAUUUAUAAAUAGAUUGGACUAAGUUGAGCUAUUACAAAGUUUAAUUUUGAUUUAUUUGGCAUGGACUAUCCCACUGCUAAGAACCACAGGUAGUUGCACCCUGUUCUGAUAUUAAUGGCAGUCCUUGUUAAGUAGGUUUGCAUUUACUCCUGCCUUGACCGCUGCACACCAAGUUUGAAAUGAGAAGCAAGGAAAUGAAAUAUUUACUGCAUUUCAGACACUUGCUAAAUUUAUACUCCACAGUGACAAAACUAUGGACACAUGUCUUAGACACUCACGAAAAUGCAAAAUAUAGAAUUAAUUUUUUUGGUUAUUUUUUAAAUAAUUAAAAGAAAUUUCAUCAAAAUAAUAAUUAAAAUAAUAAAAUGUAUAAUUAAUAUUUUGUGAGUGUACCUAUAAUUUUAUGUUUGAUCUUGUGACCAUAUAAGAAUAAUCCAAUAGAUAUUCAAAAUAGUCGAUAAAUGAAAGAAUGAUAAUAUUUUUAUAAACUUUCUCUUUGACGGAAUGAAAGAAAUCUUUAUCAAUUCAUAGUUAUCACAAGUAUGAGCAAUGCACCUAUAUUGAAAAUGACACUUAUGUUGGAGUAUAUUUUUAUCUCUUCCUCCAUUUGUUCAAAUCCCGCUACGACAUAGUGCAGAUAUAUAGUCGCUAUUUACCAACACUGACAUAGUAAACAUCAGAAUGGUUGGAGAGCUUGUAGAAGCCAGGAAACUCAAAUCUGGCGCCAAUUAUUAGCCCUAAAGAAGAAACAAUGUUAAAACCAAAUUCAUUGCAAUUGAAACUUGUUAACAGUCAAGAAUCCCAUCUCAUCACCUCUACCAUUUAUAAGUUGCAUUGAAAACUAAGAUUUCCGGGAUGAAUAAAGAACCUUGACCCUUACUGUAGAUUGAAAGAAACUUAGACAUCAAUGAAAGACUGACAACAUGUUAAGCCAAUUUUACGGCACGAAAUGAAGAAAAAUUGAUUUUCUUAUUCAAAUUGAUAAGCAUAUAAGCAUCUUCUAACGUGACACCAACAACAAUAUUUAAACUAGGAGCUUGAGACAGAUGGGAGAGUCACCUGGUGACUGAUUACAACGAUACUGACACAUAGAAUCAUCUUUCCCAAUGAUUUUCCGACACGAGUGGGAUCAGCUAAGUUUUUCAGGUGUGUAAAGGCAUGAAACAAGGGGGAUGUUUGGGUUACUUAAGCCUUGGUGGGGUCAGACUGGUCUCAAGCUCCAAGAACUUUCAUCGAAGAUGAGGUGGAGUGGUUGCAGAGGGGAAGAAAAUGAGAUGACAGAUGUGUGAGAUUAAUACACAUUAGUAUAUGUUAAAUAGGAACAACACUGAUAGUGCUUACAGAACUUUACCUAAGUUUUGCCUCAAACUUCACAUUGAAUUAAAACUAUUAAUAUGGACUACAACACAUUACUGCUCCAUCAUAGUCAUCAACUAUUGGUUAUGAUCAGAUCAUUAUUUCUUUCUUGUUUGGGUUUCUUGUACCUUGUUGCACCAUAACAUCAUCUAUCUUAUAUCUAUUAAAAGGAGAAAGCUUUGUUAUGAUAACUAUUUCUCUCUAGUGUCUAUCCAGCCUUUAUUUGAAAGAAGAAAUAUAUAAACUGAAAUUGCAAGUUUUCAAAAAAGAUGGUUUUUGUCAUUUCUCUUCUAACACUGAAUGCACUUCUUUCUUUCUUUUGACUGGGGAUUUAUUAUGGUGGCUUUUACUUGACUUUGAUCAUCAAGAAUAGUCCCUUAUUAGGUAGUAUGUCUUCAUGUCUGAUGUUAUGGCAGUAUUGUAUUUGCUCCUUUAUGAAAGUGUUGAUUGGAUUCAAAUCUCAUUUAAUGUGGAGUAGACACGCCUAUAUAAGAAUGCAAAUUGUAUAUUUUGGGGACUUUGGCAGGUUAAUAUAUGAAACUUAUAACUCUUUAAUAUUUUUCCUUAAUUUUUUUAUUCAAUGCAGAGGCAUGUGGUUGAUUUUUACAUCUCUGACUUCCAAUCUGGACUGAGAGCAUUGGUUAAAACAGGCUUUGGUGCAAGGGUGACUCCUUAUGUUGAUGAUUCCGUUGUAAUUGAUGUUAAUCCAGAGAAUAAAGAAAUGUCCCCCGAUUUCCUUCGAUGGUUGGGGAAGAGAAACCUUUCUAGUGAUGAUCGUAUCAUGCAGUUAAAAGAAGGGUAUACAGUACUUUCUUUAUCUUGUUUAAAUAAAAAAUACACGAAGAAAAUGUAGUUCUUAUGAAAGUGGCGGCUACGAUGUUUUUGUAGGUACAUAAAAGAAGGUAGCACGGUUAGCGUAAUGGGAGUUGUUCAUAGAAAUGACAAUGUACUUAUGAUUGUGCCUCCACCUGAGCCUUUGACGACCGGAUGCCAAUGAAGGUAUUGUUUUGAGAUGCGAAGAUACAUCAAAGAUGUGAUUCCAGUGUAGUUAUCUUCCUAUCCCAUGAGUGAGUGAGUCUCUCUAGGUUCUAUUCUUCUUUGAGAAAACAAAUUGAUGGUGGUGGUGGUGGUGGUGGUGGUGGUGGGUGGGUGGUGGUUGUUUGUAUUUUGUAAGCAUAUAUGUGUUGUUGGUAAGUCAGUGUGAUCUUGCUGCCAUUUACAUCCGUGAAUUUCCUUUUGUUUCAUACUCAACUCCUCUUUAGUUUGUUGUAUAGCUAAUGACAAUUCUUAUUCGUUUAUUUUUCCUUUGAGAAUUUCAAACUUUUUGAAUGGAUAUUAUUUCUUAUAGUGACAAGUAAGUAAUGUAUAUUCAUUUGAUCUUGCUGUUUCGAUCUGUUGAUUAAUGGAAUAUAUCAUGCACCAUUUUUUAUUUUUUUUUAUUUUGUAUCAUCAUCUGAACCAAUUCUUUUUUCUGGUUAUCUUGUUAAUUAAUACAUUUGUUUAUUUAUUGGUGAAUCCGUUUAAUAUUUGGUUUUACCUUUUAUUUUCCUCCGUUCAAAACUGAAUGUUAUUAAAGAGGAAUACCAUCAACUUCUAAAGGCGUAAUUUUCCUUAACAUUCUUAUCUUAAGAUACACUGUUCCAUCUAAACCAAACUUUCUUGUCACCAUCAACUUCUAAAGGCAAAAUGGGUUCAUUCAUCCAAAUUUUCUCCUUUCUGUUUUGGUUUGCCAUUGUCUCAUCUCAUGCACUGUUUCAACUCCAAACGCUUUCUUCAUCAUUAUGACUCCAUGUUUGGUCCCUUAAACUGGUUCAAUAUCAUUGUCUUUGCUGGUCCUCACCACCCUUAUGGGAGUGAUCUGUUAGAUUCAUGUGAAAAGAAGCACCAUAUCAUGUUACUAGUUAUUGGAAAAAUCUCAUCCAUUAAUUUUUUUUAUUGUCAUAUCUAAUGGUUUUGCAACGUAAUCAUUCUAAAUUAAGUACCACUUUUUCUUUUGGUAAGAAAUUAGGCACCACUCUUAAAGAUUUAUUUAGAGAUAAACUAAUCGAAUUACACAUAGUUUAAUUAGAGCUUUUCUUCUCAUAACUAGUCCCAUGUUUAUCAUAUUGAUUGAUACUGUGACAUGUAAUAGGCUUCUAUGACAUGUGCCUUCCUUUAAUAAUAUGUAAAUUUUUUAAUCAAUAAUAAAGAGACGGUUCCAGGCUGAUUCAUCAUAUUAUUACUAUAAUAUAUAAUAUAUAGGGUUAAAUAUGUUUUUGUCCCUAUAAAUAUAACAACUUUUCGUUUUAGCCCCUCUAAAAUUUUCCUUCAAGUUUUAGUUCCUAUAAAAUUUUCAAUCUUUAUUUUUGGUCCCCCGUUUAAAGUAAACUCAUAUGUAGAAUUCAUAUUUUUAAAUAAAAUUUUGCAGAAAAAUGUAUAAUAUUAUAAGUAUCUCUCCCAAAAAAAAUUAGAAUUUUUUACCAAAACAUGAAUUAAAUAUGAAUUUUUAUAUGUUUGGAGGUAAAAAAUUCAUAUUUAAUUCCUGAUUUGUUAAAAAUUCUAAUUUUUUUGGGAGUGAUUUUUACAAUAUUCCAUACAUUUCUGCACAAUUUCAUUAAAAAAUACAAAAUUUUACUUAAAAAUAGGGACGAAAAGUAGUGAUUGAAAAUUUUAUAGGGACUAAAACUUGAAGGAAAAUUUUAGGGAAACUAAAACGAAAAUUUAGUAUAUUUAUAGGGACCAAAAACAUAUUUUAACCGUAAUAUAUAAUAUAUUGAAGGUAGAUAGAAAGAUAAAGACCAUGUUGUGUUGUGUGUGUGCACCUAUAAACAUUACACAGUAGAGAAAUGGGUGAAGUGAAACGUGUAGAGUGAACAAGGGUGAGUAAGUAAUACAAAAAGGCCACGUGGUGCAAGUGACUAACGUGUCCACAAGCCAACAAUGGUACCCUACCGUACUUAACAACAUUACUAAUGACUUUGUUUUGAAUGAGAAUAAUAUUAUGCUAUACUCUAUGGAUAAAAAGCUUGGUGCAAGUGGUGUGGUUUUGGUGUUAGUAUUCUUCAGCUUCACUAUAGCUAAUGUGAAUGGAGAUUCAGUUAAUGAUGAAGAUCAGAGUAAGAAAUCAGCUUUGUGGGUAUGGCAGAGACUAAGAAAUGCAUAUUCUAUGUAUUCAUCAGUUUUCCCAACAAAUAUUGGACAAUAUUGGCACAUGGUUAAGGCCAUUGUCAAUCACACUUAUGCUUAUUUCUUCCCUCCAAAUCUAGAGUAAGCUACUAACCUUCUCCAUCUCAAUAUAUUUAUUUAUUUAUUUAUUUAGUAUUCUCAUUUCAACCUUGUGCUUUUAUUUUCAUAGCAUAUUCUUUGUUACAUACCAUGCACAAGACACACAAAUACUAGCUACUUCAUUCAUUAAUAAUUUGUUUUUAUAAGUUUUAGGAGAGGAGAAGAGGGUGAAGCAGUGGUAGAUAACAAUGGAGCAGGGGAUAAGGUGAAAGAAGCUUUAGCCAAAAGCCUAGGAACAAGCAAAGCAACGUUGGAGGAUGCUGCAAAAUCAGCAGCAGAUAAGGUCAAGAGGAGUUUGUCUGAUGAUAGGGAAAAGAAACAUCCAAAAGAGCUCUAAUUCUAUGAUGUAUAAGAAGAACUAAUUAAGAUGUUGUAUUUGUUUAAUGUUAUUAUAUGCAUAUCUUACUUAAGAAGCAGGAUAUCUUGUGUAAAGCUUCAAUCAUUUGUAGGCUUGAAUGAUCAAAUGAGGUCUACACACAUGAAUUGCAGUUUUGGAUGUUAAAUUAAGUGUAUUUUUGCUUUAGAAUUUGAGUGAAUUGAUUCUAACGACCCGAAGCUAAAGUUUUAUUUUAAAAUCGAUGAUACAAUCAAAAACUUUAAUUUUUUACUUCUAGAAUAAAUUUUAGUUCAAAGUGUUAUUAUAAGUCCAAUUGAGGGGAUCUUGGAACUGUUGGAAAGAUUACAAAAUUAUAUCAUAACAAAUUUAACUAUCUCUUUCUAGAGCGAAACUUAAUAGUAUCAGAAAUAAAGAAUUGACGAAAUAACAAUAACCAUUGAAAACUCCACACACAUAAACGGACGAGUCAAGGAUUUGAACCUCAUUCAGGUUGUCAAAUCUAACAAUUUUAGCAUGCAUUUUUACCACUUGAGUUAUGAUUUGUAUAUGAUAUCAAUAAUUUUAUUUUAUAAUAUAGUGAUAAAAUAAAAUAUAAUAAAAGCAAAACAUUGAAUUAUUGGUACUAAAUGUUAUAGUAGCAGCGUUAGUUAGUGCAGUUAGAGAUUGAGGAAAGUGUAUGUGUGUGUGUAUAUAUCAAAUGAUUGAGUAAGAAUCGUAUUUUAUUUAUUUUAUUUAUAGUCGACGUUAAGGCGUAGCUAGUAAGAAGAAGAAGAUCGAAAAUGGUGGAAUCGAAGAAGAUCGAAACGGUACAUUCAUCACUCGUCACCUAUGCUUCUAUGAUAUCUCUUCACACACUUGCUCCUCCUUUCGUCAAUCUACUGUAAGUCUACUUACUUAAUUAAUUAAUAAUUUCAAACAAAUUAGUAGAUCUAAUUAAUAAUUGAAUUGAAGAUGGUAUACAAUGAUGAAGGCUAUGGAUGGAUCAAUUUUGAAGACAUCUGAUUAUUUGAACAAUAAUGGUUUACAAGGUUUUCUUAAUCUAUGGCCUAAACCAACACUUCUCUCUUUCUAAAUUAUCGCUGUUUAUGAUGCAUUUGAAGCUUUACUUCAGCUUCUUCUUCCUGGAAACUGUUUCUCGAGGAUAGAUGAGAUCAAAGAACAUAAAUCUUUCAUUAUUCUUAAGCAUUGACCACAUGUGGAAGAAAUUGAUUUAGUUGUUAUGAUUAAGUUUCGGUAUGUUAACGUGUUUUAUUUAUGAAAUUUCUUUGUAUAUUGAUAAUGUGUUUUUUUAAGGAUGUUAAUGUGUACUUGACUCUUAAAACAUUGAUGAAGAAUGUACCUGUAACACUCCGUUUUUCCAGCAUAAAAAUUUCAUAAAUAAAUCAGAGUAUUUCAACGGAAUGUCACACUUCUUUUCAUAAAAUCAUAAAGUGAAUAAAUAACUAUUUAUCCUUCAAAAAUCCAACAACAUAAUAUUUAAUACUUCGCAGCGGAAUUUAUUCAACUUUUAAAACAAUCUUUGGCACGAAGGCCUCAACGUAAAAUGUCAUAAAAUUAUUCCAACAACAUAAUCAUGGACUUCAUAAAAUAAUACGUAAGGAAUAGAAAAGCAAUAACAAAGUUCUCAUCCCGUUACGUAUCAGAGCACCUAAGACACAAGUGAGAGAAUCCACUCACGACCGCGACUAAUCUUGGUUACCUGCAAGUUACCCACUAAUACAUGCAACAUUUCCAAGCAGAACGGGUGAGAUUUCUCAAACAAUAAUAAUAAGCAUAUAAUUCAUCAAUUACAUUUAACACCAUAGACAUCAUCAAUUCACCCUAAUAAUAAUUCUUCAUAAAACAUCUCAUUAGCAACUCAUAAAUAGAAGACAACUUAACAACUUAACAUCUCAUGUAUAACCAAUUAUCAACAACGUAAACAUCAUUAAUUCAUAAUAAUAAUUCUUCAUCAAACAUUCAUUAGCAACUCAUGAAUGAAAGACAAUUUAUCAACUUAACAUAAACAUCAUCAAUCAUAUUUAACAACUCAUAGACAACAUCAUGUAAUCAUCAUAACAACAGUCAUAAUCAACGUCAUGUAACAUCAUAAUCAACAUCAUAUAAUCAUCAUCACAACAUUAUAAUCAACAUCAUAAACAACAUCGUAAUCAAUAUCAUAAACAACAUCAUUAUCAAUGUCAUAAACAACAUAACAUCGUAAUCAAUAUCAUAAACAACAUUCUAUCAACAUUAUAAUCAACAUCAUAAACAACAUAACAACAUCGUAAUCAAUAUCAUAAACAACAUCAUAACAACAUCAUUAUCAACAUCAUAAACAGCAUAAACAACAUAACAACGUCGUAAUCAAUAUCAUAAACAACAUCAUAACAACAUCAUUAUCAACAUCAUAAACAACAUAACAACCUCGUAAUCAAUACCAACAUAUAACAUAACAAAAUAUCACUCAUCAAAAUAAAUCGACUAAAUUAUAAAAAGACAUCUAAAUUCAAUAAAAUAAAUAAAUAAUAAAAUAGGGCGUUACAGUACCAACUCAUAACAAAUUUGACUAUCUCUUUCUAUUCUAAAAUUUGAGCGAAACUUAUAGUAUCAGAAAUAAAGAAUUGACGAAAUAACAAUAACCAUUGAAAACUCAACACACAUAAACGGAGGAGUCAAGGAUUUGAACCCCAUUCAGGUUGUCAAAUCUAACAAUUUUAGCAUGCAUUUUUACCACUUGAGUUAUAAUAUAGUAUCAUUAACAGUAAAAAAAAAAAAACAAAAAAAAUCAAAGCAAACAAAGUGAUAAAAUAAAACAUAAUAAAAGCAAAACAUUGAAUUAUUCGUAAUAAAUAUUAUAGUAGUUUUGACUAGGAAUAAGAAGAAAGAAAGUUGUAUAUUCCCUUUGUUUGUUUGUUAAAGAAAGUUAAAAAUGAUUUUUAUUUUACCCAAAAAUAAACAAACAAACAAACAUUCUAUCUAUCUAUCAAAGCACCGUUAGUUAGUGUAGUUAGAGAUUGAGGGAAGUAUAUAUAUAUAUAUCAUAUGAUUGAAAGGAGAAAAUUAACGAAGAAGAUAGGACUUCAUUCGCUAUGAAGCAUUGACACUUAUAUUAACACUUGGACAUCUGUAAUAAUUUGAGAAAAUAAACUAAUUGAAUGUAUUGACAUCUGUCGGAGACACGUGUGGGACACUGGACACACAUUCAUUCAAUAAGUUUCAGUGCUAGGAUUCAUUCAUUCAUUAUUGCUGAUUAAAUUGAUUUUUCAUUUCAUCUUGGAUGUUCUGUGUUGUUUUUGAAAAUUCAAGUAGUAAUAAAUGAAUUGUUUGAACAAAAAUCAGUCAAUAUAUUCGUCCCACAAAGAAAAGAAAAUUGGCAUAGGAGAUCUGAAGAUAUAAUAUUGUUGUCUUCUAGGAAUAAGACUUUGUAUGAUCUUAGUUGUCAAAUAUGGCUGAUGUAUGUAUAUAUAUAUAUAUAUAUAUAUACAUAUGAUAGAACAAGAAGAAAAAAACAUUAGUCAUUGCUAGUCUUCUCAAUUAGUUAUCCUUUUGAAUUUCAAUUUGGAUGUUCUGUGUUGUUUAUGAAAAUUGGCAGAGGAGAUCUCACGACAUAAUAUUGAGUUGAGGUUCUCUCAGAAUUAAACUUGAUAUGAUGUCCUCCUAUGUAGCACUGACACUUCAAAUUGAAGUCGUGUAUGACAACGACACUGGUAAUUACAAACAGAUAUGAUCACUUCUAUUUGAUCAAAAUUUUCCCAGUGUGGCAGUGUCUAUGUGUUGGUGUUGGUACCGUAUCCGUGUCUGUGUCAAUGCUUCAUAGAUAAUGUAUGAUGGAUGGAUAUAUUUGGUAAAUCAAACAAAUAUCAUUAUUCAUUGCUAGUCUCCUCAAUUGGUUAUCCUUUUGAAUUUCAAGGCUUUAUGAAGAUAGGUUUAUAUGCUUUUAUAGGCUAAAAGCCUAAAACAUACUCUAAGAAACUAUGUUCAAAUUAUUAUGUGUUUUAUCUACAAGAAAGUUGUGUCACAUAAUAGGUUUUCCUUACAAAGCAAGAUGGUUUGCUUCUUUUACUUUUUCAAAAACAGUUGACAUGUAAUUUUUGCAUGUAUGUUUCAGGUUUGGGAUAUUCAACCCAACAAUCGUUUAUGAUCAUUUGGGGGAGAUAUAUUCCACACUCAGCUUUGGGAGCUUUAUCUUUUGUAUUUUCUUAUACAUAAAAGUGAGACUGUUGUGAAAUUGAAGAAAUGAUAAGGUAUUUGUUUCCUGUGCAAUUUACAUUGGAUUUUCUGACUCAAGUGUUAUAUUUGAUAGGGUCAUUUGGCACCAUCUUCUACUGAUUCUGGUUCAAGUGGGAACAUAAUCAUCGAUUUUUACUGGGUAAACUAAUCUCUGCUUCUUAAUUUGAUUAAACUGCUCAACAAUUUUUUUGUCUUAUCCAUUUAUUUGCAUUGAAAAUUGACAUUGAUUUAAGAAAGAGAAUGUGAACGAUGGAAAAAAUUAAAAUAAAACUGAGUGAUAGCAUGAAAAAUCUCUCUUGUCUGAUUACUGGCGUCAUGCCUUUAGAGGAUCAUUGAUGCAACAAACCUUUCUUUAAAAUUACCGCCUCUCAUUCUAAACCAAGUAGGCACCGAUAAUGCAUGGAAAAUUCUUUUAGAAUUACCCAUCCUUUUGUUUAAACUGGUUUGACUGAAAUUCCGUUCAUAAUGCCACUAUGUGAACUUUGAAAUUCUUAUUGUAGAAAUGAAUGUUUCAACGUUUUAUGGCUGUAAUUUUCGUUUUCACCAUAUUACAAGAAAUUGUUUGAUAAACUAAAAUUCAUCCCUUGAGAUGUUUUUUUUUUAUAUGAAUAACAGGCCUAGACAUGUGGAGUUUAAUUCCACCUUUUUUCCAUAAAUGACGGCCUUCUAUCUUUCUGCCAUUCUGCAGGGUAUGGAGCUCUAUCCACGCAUUGGAAAAUAUUUUGACAUAAAAGUUUUCACAAACUGCAGAUUUGGAAUGAUGUCGUGGGCUGUUCUGGCACUUACUUACUGCAUAAAGCAGGUUGAGUCUACGAGGUUUUAUUCUUUGUAUAAAUACUGAAGUCAAGCAUAAUGAUUGUGCUAUCCAGCAUUUAGUUGGAAAACACAGAUGAAUAAUCCUUUAAAUACCUAUUUGUAGUUAGAAACAGUUUGAACGUGGGGACCUUGGUGAUUAGGUGGCCAAUCAAGCUCCAUAGAAGCUGAGGCCAUCUACUUUUGAGUUUUUUUUGUCUUCUGAGAAGAUCUAAUUUAUGAUAGGGAUAUAAAUCAUAUUUAUAUGUGGUUGGACUUCCUUAGUUGUUUUGGAUAUAGUGGCCAGUUGGUAUUGACUUAUUACCUCCAUGAACAUGAUCUUACUAGUAUAUGAAUCAGGAACAUAAAUUUAUUUUGUAAUUUUGUUUUGUGAAAUUUCCAUCCUUUGGUUAACUCUCUAUUGUUCGUAUUCUUGUCUUAAUAGUAUGAAGAAAAUGGGAAGGUAGCUGACUCAAUGCUUGUAAAUACUACAUUAAUGCUGGUGUAUGUUACCAAGUUUUUCUGGUGGGAAGCUGGAUACUGGAACACAAUGGAUAUUGCACACGAUCGAGGUCUGCACAUAUGUUUUAUCUUUGUUUUUGUUGACAUACUUGCUCUUUCCUAUCGUUAUGCUGAUAUGUUCUUUUGGCGUCAUUAGUUUUCAUAGUUUAUUAAGUUUAAGAUCAAGAUCAUAUCUUCCAUAACAACUGUAUUUCAUUUAUCAUGUUUGGAUUAGUUUUCAUAUAUUAUUGAUAAGUUCAUUGUAUACAUUGUAUUUAAACCUCUUUAUCGUGUCCCUAAAUCUUGCAGCUGGAUUUUAUAUUUGUUGGGGCUGUUUGGUUUGGGUUCCAUCAGUGUAUACAUCUCCUGGAAUGUACCUUGUCAACCAUCCAGUGAAUCUUGGCACCCAGGUACCAUCCCUUUCCUGUUUGAGCUGUUGUUUUGUGGUAGUUAUUUAUACCGCAGAGUUUUCCUUAUUUCUAAUAUACUUUUCAAAUUUCAAUGUUUUCCACUUUUUUUUGAAAAUUAGCUUCCUUGUCUUUCAGCUAGUACUCUUUAUUUUAGUGGCUGGCAUUAUGUGCAUAUACAUCAAUUAUGAUUGUGACAGGCAAAGGCAAGAGUUUCGUAGGACAAAUGGAAAAAGCUUGGUCUGGGGAAAAGCUCCAUCAAAGAUAAAGAUGCGUAGAAUAUACUGGGUUACUAUUUUUCAUUUGAAAUGUACUUUCUAUUUUCUAUAUAAUGCAAGUCAGAUUGGGAAUCUUAUUGUCGUGAGACUUGCAUAAGGUAUUCAUAAUGAAAAUGUACUUGCAGAUAGAAGCCUCAUAUACCACUUCUUCCGGGGAAACAAAAAGAAGCCUUCUUUUAACCUCUGGAUGGUAUGUAUCCCUUAAAAACAUUCUAUUUUUGAAGCAUAUGUAAACAUACUUAAACACUAAGUUGUUGUAAUGAUUGAGAGAGCUUAAACUCACUAUUUUUUGGGGUGGAUUCCAGACAUUUGACUUAAAAUGUGUUACAAUCUGAUAUUUAUUGUUUGCCUCCAUAUAGAAAUAUUAUUGCUAACUAUAGGUUAUACAUCCUUUUAAAAAAGAAAACAAUAGUUUAUGCAUUUAAUCUCAUAAUAUAUAUUUGAUUUUUCUAGUUGGCCCAACAUUUUCUUAGAGAACAUGUCUUAUUUCUCAAAGUAACCAGUUCACUUUUUCCGUGCUACCUGCAGGUGGAGAUUAGCUCGUCAUUUUCAUUAUGUACCUGAAAUACUAGCUGCAUUCUUCUGGACAGUCCCAGCUCUUUUCAAUCACGUAAGAAGAGUGUUUAUUUCUCUGUACAGUUGAAAGUUGUAGAGAAUGUUAACCUUAACAACUUUUUUACUAUGCAGUUCUUGCCUUACUUAUACGUGAUAUUUCUUAUUAUCCUUCUUUUUGAUCGAGCAAAAAGGGAUGAUGAUCGAUGCAGAUCCAAGUAAGCAUUAUUUUCUAUCUAUUAGUGUUGCUUAUAGUUCUUGGACAUUUUAUUUUCAAUGUGCAGAGAGAACCACAGAUGCUCUUUUUGUCAUAUCAUUCUAUUCUUACAAACAGUUUGCUUUAUGAGUCAUGGCGGUGCAUGUUUGGAUCGGUUGUGAGUUUGUCAAAAUCAAGUUAGCACCAUGAUUUUGUUGAAGCUUUAAAAUGUAGUUUUUGCUAAACUCAUAAUGCCAACAGCCUAAAUUGUAAUAUAUACGCUUUAUUUUUCAUAUCUAUAGGAAACCAAUGGCCUACCGUUUCAACCAGAUUUGGCCUGUCUCUGAAAUAUACAAUUCAUAAUGCCACUGCAAUGCAAUAAAUAAUUGAAUGGAUAGAUUAUUGAAAACCAAAUUUAUUUAUCAUUGCAUCAACUGAACUUUUUAUUACCAAUGGAUUAGGAAAUUUGAUGGUUCUAGGUCAUUACAAUGUACAUGUAGUUAAAAAUUUCCAUUGCAUGCAGGUAUGGAAAGUACUGGAAACUCUAUUGCGACAGGGUAGCUUACAGAAUUAUUCCAGGAAUAUAUUGAUGAUGACGUGUCUGGAAUCCUAUCCUUCACUUGGUGCCAUGUUUACCUAUUUUUGUUUACUGCCUCUGCCACUUAAGAUGCAAUGGUAAACUUUAGCUGUAAGAAAUAAUUCAGUAAUUAUUGAACCUUAUUUUGUAAGUGAAUGUUAUGAUUUAAAAUGGUUCUCGAGCUGUUUAUCAAUUAUGCUUUAAAGAAAUAGUUUUGUUUCGCUGCCCAUAAAUAGAAAUCUCCCUCAUUUUUCUUGACAUAAUUAUCCGCCAUGGAGUCCUUGUAUAUAUGAGCUAGAAAUUCAGCUGGUUCUGCAUUAAUCCAAUCGGGAAUUAAGAACAAUUAUUGAGUAAACAUUCAAGAAUAUAACGUUUUUAUAUUAUUUUUUAAAUACAAAAAUAAAUAUGAUAUGAUAUUUUGAUCUAAUCAUGAGUGUUGAUUCUAUUGAUUUAUAAAUAGGGUUAUGUUAAACCGGAGCACUGGUUAAAGAUAUAAAAAAAUGAGGUUAUUACUAAAAAAAUAAAACUAUUUUAUUUUUAUUUUCAAUACAAUAACUACUAUCAAUUUUACUUUUAACAAAAAUAUUUUAUAAUGUGAAAAAUAUAUUUUAAUAACUGUAUAGACAAUUUUUUUUACCAGUGUCAUGACUAUUUCAUAAUUUAUUUAGUUUAUAUUUAAUUUAAAUAUUCUUUUUUGGGUGAAAUAAUUGUGAUAUAAUUUUAACUUAUUUAAUAUUUUUUACAAACAUAUAUAUAUAUAUAUUUAAAAUUGAGUUUACAUUAAAACUGUAUAUCUUUAGGUUUUGAAAAUUUAUGAACAUAUUCAAGGGUAACCAAACUAAAAUUAAAAGUUUAUAGAAAAUAGUAUCUUUAUUAUUUUUCUUGACAAAAUAUUAUACUUACUACAAAUAUCAAAAAUUUUGGAAGGCUUAAAUUUAUUUUUGGAGUAUACUUUAUUAUUUUAACUUCUAUUCUCUAUAAAGAGUUUUAUUGUUUACAAUCUUACAAAAUCUACGUAUUUUUUAGUUCUGGUUUUUCUAUUAUAAAUUUAUAAUAGCCCUAAAACAAUUGUUUGUGAUAAAAUUGCUUUAUCUAAUGCGUUCUUUUUUCUAAAAAAUAGACCAAAGCAAUGAUAUUUUGAAACGUAAAAUUAAAGCACAAGAAGAACAAACCAAAACAAUGGCACAACCAAACAAAAAAUUCAAAAGCGGAUAAUCUCUCAAAACAUAGAUCGUAUAAUGAUUAAAAUGAUCCGCUUUUCAUAUUCAUUUUAAUUAUUAUACAAUCUUAUUCCAAGAUAAACAUUUUCGAGAGAUUACAAUUUUUCAUGUACUAAAGCAAUAUAAGGUAGUAUAUUUAUGGGUAUAAAUCAUUAUACAAUCUUAUUUCGAGAUAAACAUUUUCGAAAUAUAGAUUGUAUAAUGAUUAAAAUGAUCACAUAUCUUUCAAAAAAUACUACCUUUAUUUUAUUUUAUAAGCUAUCAUUAACUAAAAUCGUAUCUUCAUAAACUACCUUUGAAAUAAGGUGAUCCAAACGGGCCUAUAUCAACAACUUUUUUAUGAAAUUUAAUAAUUAUUUCUUUAAAAAAUUUAACUAUUAGCUUAAUUUUUUUGAAGGAACUUAAAUUAAACUAUUUUGGUCCCUAUAAAAUAGGGACCUUUCAAGUUUAAUCCUUACUUAAUUUUAAUAGGUUUUUUAGUUCAUACAAAAAAGAAUUACUUCUAAUUUUAGUCCCUGUUACAACAAAGUUUGUUUAAUUAUCCUUAAACUCUUAAAUUUUUGAACGCUAGGAAAUGUUCAUUUACUAAAAUUUAAAAUUUUUUAACAUGAAACGAAUUAAAUAUGAAUUUUUUAAAACGGCAAAAGUUAAAGAUAAAAUUAACAAAAUCUGGACAUAUAAAUCAAAUUUUGUGACAAUUUUUUGCAUAGGAACUUUUAGUAAUGUUCUUAACACGUCUGUAAAAAUUUGUUAAAAAACUCAAGAGUUUAAACAUAAAUUAAACAAAUUUGAAUUGAGGAGGGACUAAUACUGAGUGCAGAAUUUUUUUUUAGGGACUAAAAGAACCAUUAAAAUUAAGUAAUGAUUAAACUUGAAAGGUCCUUAUUUUAUAGGGACCAAAAACAUAUUUAACCUUUUUUAAAAUUAUCUCUUUACUGUUUACUCUUCAAUCUCGUAUUAAAUAAAAUAUUAUUUUUUAUAUUUUUUAUAUUUCACCUCUCAAAAAAGUUUGAAUAACUGAUAAAUUAAAUAUCUCUAUAUAUAUAAUAUACCGAGGAAAACAAGCAAAAAAAAAAAGAGAGAGUGUUAUAUUUGAAGCUUUGCUUGGCACCAUCGUUUUUACGCACGAAGAUCUAUCUUUUCGUCUUUCAUCUUUUCAAGGUUUCGAUUCUCUCCGACUCAAUCAAUCAAAUUCAAAAAAGUUCGUUUUUUUCACUUUGAAUAUUUCUUCUUGCGUUCGUUUCAUAUAUCUAAUUCAACUAAUCGUCUCUUUCAUUCUCUUAAACCUAAUUUUCAGAUCCUUGUUUUUUUUAUGCUCAUUCUCAUGUUAGAGUUUAUGUUAUUAUUACUGCCCCCAAACAUUCAUUUCUUUAGGGUUUGUUUGAUUUGAGCUUAUCUUCUCACCGUUUUGGUGAAUUUAUUAAAAAAUAAAAACAUUACAUGAUUUCAUCAACACCUAGCUUUGCCACCGCCACCCCAUCCUAUACUGGAAAUGACUAUAAUACCCCUGGUUAAUAUUAAUAUUUUCAUAUAAUAUCUUUGAUUAAAAUUAAUAUUUUCAUUUCCUCUUUCCCUUUCUCUUUCAUCUGAGAACACGUUCUGUUUCUUCUCCACCACAAGCAAAUCGACCGGACCGAACCACACCACCGCCGGCGAGCUGCGACUGCGACCACUCUCCCUCCAUCCAUCAUCGGUUCACCAUCGCAUCCUCCUCCAUCUACUGUUUCGAUUCAGCUAUCUUCAUCUCUCUCCACAACAAACCCUAAUUGUUGUAAUUUGUAAGGUAAUGUGAAAUUGAAUGUAAUUUCCUUCAAUUAAUUAUGAUUCUGAUAUGAUGAUUACAUGUUUUUUAUUGAUUGCCAUGAGUUUUCCAUCUUUAGUAACUUAGUUGAUUGCCACUGGUUUCCAAUUCCAUCCGUUGUUCUUUAAUUGAAAUUGAAAUUGAAUGUAAUUGCCUUGAGUUUUCCAUCUGUUGUUAAACCUAGUUAUGUCUUGUUUUGCGGUAUGGAGAUGGUCUGGUAUUCUUUGUUUUAGAGUUUAAACUUUGACACUUAAUAGACUAAAUGCUUUGUAAAGGAAAAUAUUUGAAUAAUUCAUUGUAGAUUUGUAGUGGGAUUGUGUUGUUUCAUAUUAUGCAUAAACAGUAUGUCAAUUUAAAUCAUUCUUCAUUAUAUAUAGUCAAUUUAAAUCAUAUAUUUUAUUUUAUUUUGAUGGCGGGAUGCCGGCCACCCCAAACUUUUUUGUCGGGCUCCGCCACUGCACACCCUAGAUAUUCAUCAACACCUUGCAGGCUUUGUUGUCCUAAAUUCCAGGUUGCUAACUUCUUUUCUACCUCUCUACAUUUAAAUGCUUCCUUGAUUUUUCUUGUGCUUUUGAAUCAAUAUUCAGGAUUUCUAAUCUGGGAUAUGUAAAAAAUGAAAUGAUAGAACAGCCUUUCUGAAUUGAAAGGGGGAUUUAUGUUCAAUUCAAAGCAACAAUCUUUAAGAUCAUAUAUAACAAAACACAAAUUCUUCAAAACUCAUUUCAAUAAUCAUCUUAAAUUGCUCAAAUUCAAUGUUUUUAUCAUCAUAGUUGAAAAGGGUAGGAGCAGGUCUUUGAGAAAGAUGUCGGUGGCGGCUGGGCUGAGACUGCUGAUGUUAGCAGCAGUUUCUGUUUGGUUGUGGCAGCUAUGGUGUGGCCGGUUUAGGUAUUGGUUUGGAGCAACUGCUGGUGCGUUUUUUGGAUGGUUGUUGUUGUUGGAAUUGAUGAUGGCCAGAGAAAGAGAUGGAAAAAGAAGAAGAAUAAGGGUCAAUUGGUGUACAUGGACCUCUCAUAUGGGUCAAUUGUUGUUCUUGUUCUUGAGAUUGAGAGGAAGAAGAAAUAAAAGAUUAAGAUUUGAGUUUUAUUUUUUAUUUUUUCUCUUUUUAUUUUUAUUUUUUAAUUUCAUUUUCAUUUAUUUAAUUUAAAAAAUGAUAAUCUACUUUUUUUUUUUAAAUUAAUUCAAUAAUUAUCACAAUUUUCAUAUGUAUCACAAUUUAAGUCGUAGCUAGUAGGAAGCAGAAGAUCGAAAAUGGUGGAAUCGAAGAAGACCGAAACGGUACAUUCACCACUCGUCACCUAUGCUUCUAUGAUAUCUCUUCUCACACUUGCUCCUCCUUUCGUCAAUCUACUGUAAGUCUACUUAGUUAAUUAAUUAAUAAUUUCAAACAAAUUAGUAGAUCUAAUUAAUAAUUGAAUUGAAGAUGGUAUACAAUGACGACGGCUAUGGAUGGAUCAAUUUUGAAGACAUUUGAUUAUUUGAACAAUAAUGGUUUACAAGGUUUUCUUAAUCUAUGGCCUAAACCAACACUUCUCUCUUUCCAAAUUAUUGUUGUUUAUGCUGCAUUUGAAGCUUUACUUCAGCUUCUUCUUCCUGGGGAAACUGUUUACGGUCCUAUUUCUCCCACCGGUAACCGCCCUUUCUAUAAGGUAUGUAUGUCUCUUUCUCUUUCUCUUUUUAUUACGGCGUUUACAUCUUACUUAUAAGACUGGGUUUUACUGUUUGGGACAAACUAUGGGGCAAGUGUGAGAAGAUAAGAACAAGACAAGACAAAUACCAAAAUAACUUUUGUCUAUCAAACAUCGUAUAAGACGAAAACGUUGUUUAAUACAAUACUAGUUUGUCUUGUGUUGUUCUGUUUUUAUUAUUUACCUUUUAAUAGAUAUAACACAACCUAUGUGUUACGAUUUAAUUAUUGGAGGCAUGUGUAAAAUAAUUUUACAUCGUCGAUGCGUACAAAUUAAAUACAUACAUACAUUUUUUCUUAUUAAUUUAUUGUAGUAACAAGUUGCGUCGUUGUUUGUAUUUCUUCAGGCAAAUGGUGUUGCUGCAUAUUUAGUUACUUUGGUUACUUACGUUGCACUUUGGCGGUGAGUUCUUAUGGUUCUGCGCUUAUUAAUUGAAAGGAGAAAAGUAACAAAGAAGAUAGGACUUCAUUCGCUACGAAGCAUUGACACUUAUACUAACAUUUGGACAUCUGUAAUAAUUUGAGAAAAUAAACUAAUUGAAUGUAUUGACAUCUGUCGGAGACACGUGUGGGACACUGGACACAAAUUCAUUCAAUAAGUUUCAGUGCUAGGAUUCAUUCAUUCAUUAUUGCCGAUUAAAUUGAUUUUUCAUUUCAUCUUGGAUGUUCUGUGAUGUUUUGUUUUUGAAAAUUCAAGUAGUAAUAAAUGAAUUGUUUGACCAAAAAUCAGCCAAUAUAUUCGUCCCACAAAGAAAAGAAAAUUGGCAUAGGAGAUCUGAAGAUAUAAUAUUGUUGUCUUCUAGGAAUAAGACUUUGUAUGAUCUUAGUUGUCAAAUAUGGCUGAUGUAUGUAUAUAUAUAUAUAUAUAUAUAUACAUAUGAUAGAACAAGAAGAAAAAAACAUUAGUCAUUGCUAGUCUUCUCAAUUAGUUAUCCUUUUGAAUUUCAAUUUGGAUGUUCUGUGUUGUUUAUGAAAAUUGGCAGAGGAGAUCUCACGACAUAAUAUUGAGUUGAGGUUCUCUCAGAAUUAAACUUGAUAUGAUGUCCUCCUAUGUAGCACUGACACUUCAAAUUGAAGUCGUGUAUGACAACGACACUGGUAAUUACAAACAGAUAUGAUCACUUCUAUUUGAUCAAAAUUUUCCCAGUGUGGCAGUGUCUAUGUGUUGGUGUUGGUACCGUAUCCGUGUCUGUGUCAAUGCUUCAUAGAUAAUGUAUGAUGGAUGGAUAUAUUUGGUAAAUCAAACAAAUAUCAUUAUUCAUUGCUAGUCUCCUCAAUUGGUUAUCCUUUUGAAUUUCAAGGCUUUAUGAAGAUAGGUUUAUAUGCUUUUAUAGGCUAAAAGCCUAAAACAUACUCUAAGAAACUAUGUUCAAAUUAUUAUGUGUUUUAUCUACAAGAAAGUUGUGUCACAUAAUAGGUUUUCCUUACAAAGCAAGAUGGUUUGCUUCUUUUACUUUUUCAAAAACAGUUGACAUGUAAUUUUUGCAUGUAUGUUUCAGGUUUGGGAUAUUCAACCCAACAAUCGUUUAUGAUCAUUUGGGGGAGAUAUAUUCCACACUCAGCUUUGGGAGCUUUAUCUUUUGUAUUUUCUUAUACAUAAAAGUGAGACUGUUGUGAAAUUGAAGAAAUGAUAAGGUAUUUGUUUCCUGUGCAAUUUACAUUGGAUUUUCUGACUCAAGUGUUAUAUUUGAUAGGGUCAUUUGGCACCAUCUUCUACUGAUUCUGGUUCAAGUGGGAACAUAAUCAUCGAUUUUUACUGGGUAAACUAAUCUCUGCUUCUUAAUUUGAUUAAACUGCUCAACAAUUUUUUUGUCUUAUCCAUUUAUUUGCAUUGAAAAUUGACAUUGAUUUAAGAAAGAGAAUGUGAACGAUGGAAAAAAUUAAAAUAAAACUGAGUGAUAGCAUGAAAAAUCUCUCUUGUCUGAUUACUGGCGUCAUGCCUUUAGAGGAUCAUUGAUGCAACAAACCUUUCUUUAAAAUUACCGCCUCUCAUUCUAAACCAAGUAGGCACCGAUAAUGCAUGGAAAAUUCUUUUAGAAUUACCCAUCCUUUUGUUUAAACUGGUUUGACUGAAAUUCCGUUCAUAAUGCCACUAUGUGAACUUUGAAAUUCUUAUUGUAGAAAUGAAUGUUUCAACGUUUUAUGGCUGUAAUUUUCGUUUUCACCAUAUUACAAGAAAUUGUUUGAUAAACUAAAAUUCAUCCCUUGAGAUGUUUUUUUUUUAUAUGAAUAACAGGCCUAGACAUGUGGAGUUUAAUUCCACCUUUUUUCCAUAAAUGACGGCCUUCUAUCUUUCUGCCAUUCUGCAGGGUAUGGAGCUCUAUCCACGCAUUGGAAAAUAUUUUGACAUAAAAGUUUUCACAAACUGCAGAUUUGGAAUGAUGUCGUGGGCUGUUCUGGCACUUACUUACUGCAUAAAGCAGGUUGAGUCUACGAGGUUUUAUUCUUUGUAUAAAUACUGAAGUCAAGCAUAAUGAUUGUGCUAUCCAGCAUUUAGUUGGAAAACACAGAUGAAUAAUCCUUUAAAUACCUAUUUGUAGUUAGAAACAGUUUGAACGUGGGGACCUUGGUGAUUAGGUGGCCAAUCAAGCUCCAUAGAAGCUGAGGCCAUCUACUUUUGAGUUUUUUUUGUCUUCUGAGAAGAUCUAAUUUAUGAUAGGGAUAUAAAUCAUAUUUAUAUGUGGUUGGACUUCCUUAGUUGUUUUGGAUAUAGUGGCCAGUUGGUAUUGACUUAUUACCUCCAUGAACAUGAUCUUACUAGUAUAUGAAUCAGGAACAUAAAUUUAUUUUGUAAUUUUGUUUUGUGAAAUUUCCAUCCUUUGGUUAACUCUCUAUUGUUCGUAUUCUUGUCUUAAUAGUAUGAAGAAAAUGGGAAGGUAGCUGACUCAAUGCUUGUAAAUACUACAUUAAUGCUGGUGUAUGUUACCAAGUUUUUCUGGUGGGAAGCUGGAUACUGGAACACAAUGGAUAUUGCACACGAUCGAGGUCUGCACAUAUGUUUUAUCUUUGUUUUUGUUGACAUACUUGCUCUUUCCUAUCGUUAUGCUGAUAUGUUCUUUUGGCGUCAUUAGUUUUCAUAGUUUAUUAAGUUUAAGAUCAAGAUCAUAUCUUCCAUAACAACUGUAUUUCAUUUAUCAUGUUUGGAUUAGUUUUCAUAUAUUAUUGAUAAGUUCAUUGUAUACAUUGUAUUUAAACCUCUUUAUCGUGUCCCUAAAUCUUGCAGCUGGAUUUUAUAUUUGUUGGGGCUGUUUGGUUUGGGUUCCAUCAGUGUAUACAUCUCCUGGAAUGUACCUUGUCAACCAUCCAGUGAAUCUUGGCACCCAGGUACCAUCCCUUUCCUGUUUGAGCUGUUGUUUUGUGGUAGUUAUUUAUACCGCAGAGUUUUCCUUAUUUCUAAUAUACUUUUCAAAUUUCAAUGUUUUCCACUUUUUUUUGAAAAUUAGCUUCCUUGUCUUUCAGCUAGUACUCUUUAUUUUAGUGGCUGGCAUUAUGUGCAUAUACAUCAAUUAUGAUUGUGACAGGCAAAGGCAAGAGUUUCGUAGGACAAAUGGAAAAAGCUUGGUCUGGGGAAAAGCUCCAUCAAAGAUAAAGAUGCGUAGAAUAUACUGGGUUACUAUUUUUCAUUUGAAAUGUACUUUCUAUUUUCUAUAUAAUGCAAGUCAGAUUGGGAAUCUUAUUGUCGUGAGACUUGCAUAAGGUAUUCAUAAUGAAAAUGUACUUGCAGAUAGAAGCCUCAUAUACCACUUCUUCCGGGGAAACAAAAAGAAGCCUUCUUUUAACCUCUGGAUGGUAUGUAUCCCUUAAAAACAUUCUAUUUUUGAAGCAUAUGUAAACAUACUUAAACACUAAGUUGUUGUAAUGAUUGAGAGAGCUUAAACUCACUAUUUUUUGGGGUGGAUUCCAGACAUUUGACUUAAAAUGUGUUACAAUCUGAUAUUUAUUGUUUGCCUCCAUAUAGAAAUAUUAUUGCUAACUAUAGGUUAUACAUCCUUUUAAAAAAGAAAACAAUAGUUUAUGCAUUUAAUCUCAUAAUAUAUAUUUGAUUUUUCUAGUUGGCCCAACAUUUUCUUAGAGAACAUGUCUUAUUUCUCAAAGUAACCAGUUCACUUUUUCCGUGCUACCUGCAGGUGGAGAUUAGCUCGUCAUUUUCAUUAUGUACCUGAAAUACUAGCUGCAUUCUUCUGGACAGUCCCAGCUCUUUUCAAUCACGUAAGAAGAGUGUUUAUUUCUCUGUACAGUUGAAAGUUGUAGAGAAUGUUAACCUUAACAACUUUUUUACUAUGCAGUUCUUGCCUUACUUAUACGUGAUAUUUCUUAUUAUCCUUCUUUUUGAUCGAGCAAAAAGGGAUGAUGAUCGAUGCAGAUCCAAGUAAGCAUUAUUUUCUAUCUAUUAGUGUUGCUUAUAGUUCUUGGACAUUUUAUUUUCAAUGUGCAGAGAGAACCACAGAUGCUCUUUUUGUCAUAUCAUUCUAUUCUUACAAACAGUUUGCUUUAUGAGUCAUGGCGGUGCAUGUUUGGAUCGGUUGUGAGUUUGUCAAAAUCAAGUUAGCACCAUGAUUUUGUUGAAGCUUUAAAAUGUAGUUUUUGCUAAACUCAUAAUGCCAACAGCCUAAAUUGUAAUAUAUACGCUUUAUUUUUCAUAUCUAUAGGAAACCAAUGGCCUACCGUUUCAACCAGAUUUGGCCUGUCUCUGAAAUAUACAAUUCAUAAUGCCACUGCAAUGCAAUAAAUAAUUGAAUGGAUAGAUUAUUGAAAACCAAAUUUAUUUAUCAUUGCAUCAACUGAACUUUUUAUUACCAAUGGAUUAGGAAAUUUGAUGGUUCUAGGUCAUUACAAUGUACAUGUAGUUAAAAAUUUCCAUUGCAUGCAGGUAUGGAAAGUACUGGAAACUCUAUUGCGACAGGGUAGCUUACAGAAUUAUUCCAGGAAUAUAUUGAUGAUGACGUGUCUGGAAUCCUAUCCUUCACUUGGUGCCAUGUUUACCUAUUUUUGUUUACUGCCUCUGCCACUUAAGAUGCAAUGGUAAACUUUAGCUGUAAGAAAUAAUUCAGUAAUUAUUGAACCUUAUUUUGUAAGUGAAUGUUAUGAUUUAAAAUGGUUCUCGAGCUGUUUAUCAAUUAUGCUUUAAAGAAAUAGUUUUGUUUCGCUGCCCAUAAAUAGAAAUCUCCCUCAUUUUUCUUGACAUAAUUAUCCGCCAUGGAGUCCUUGUAUAUAUGAGCUAGAAAUUCAGCUGGUUCUGCAUUAAUCCAAUCGGGAAUUAAGAACAAUUAUUGAGUAAACAUUAUUUUCACUAUUUUCACAGUGUGUUGCGAUUAAAACUAGUAGCUUGAGUUGAUCGCAUACCGCAGUUCCAAACACACAAUUAGACGGCAGUUACAGAACUUGGAGUGCAGGGCUAAUGGAUGACAUUUUAGUGGGGAAUUAUCCUGGGAGUUGUUGAGACUUUUGUAGUAUUUGACAUGCGAACAGAACAGAACAAAUGUUCUGUUUUUCUUGGUUUCAUCUUUUCAAAGGAACCAAAAUGUAUUUAUUUAUUUACCUUAUAUCCUGAUUUAUUUAAUUUUAUCAUGUACCCUGCUCUAACUUAUCUACCAAAAGCCACACCUACAUUUGGCUGGCUUGAUGGAGCAAAAUCUGGCUGCUGCUGCCUGCUGUUGUGUUGGGUAAUUAGAUUUAGGAGGGAAAAGUGCUGGUGAGGUUGUCAGGUUGUAGAUGAUUUUUUAUAUUGUCUUUAAAGCUCAAAGACCAGAUGAGAUCUAUACAAGUUUUUACGACUCCUGAACCACCGAUGAGUUGGCAAUAUUUUUUAAAAUAUUUCUAUGAUAAAUGUUAUAUGGCAUUAACUCUUCUCACUUCCAAAAUCACCUUAGAUGUACACAUCUGAAAACAAACACAAUUUUUGUGCCGUCCGGAUGUGUACUACAAAAAUACAGUUUUUCUUAGGUCCGAAAAUAUGCUUCCAGAGGUUUAAUUAUAAAUGUGGAGAGUGGUUGAACUUGUUUUCUUAUGAUAAUAUAGUACUAUAAGACUUUCUUAUGAUAACCCUGCAUGUUAUUGUAUGGAUCAUUUACAACCGUUACACAGUGCUGAGACAUGCAGAACAGUCAGAUUUAAAGAGAGUCCCUCAAUAUUUCAGUUUAGUCAAUAAAUGUAAUGUGAAAUAUGAUUGGAAUAAACAAUUCAUUGCCACAAGUUUGAAAGGUAUGGCGGGACUCUGCAGUUUAUUCCCCUCUGCACUUGGUUGGGAAUAUGCUGAACAGAACCAGACUUUGUAUAAAUAUAUACGUUAAAUUACACCAGAGGUCCUUUAAUUAAAUAACUUAAAGAACUUCUGAUGUAAUUUUGCCAAAUAUAUAUGAUAUGUUCACAAAAUUCAAGACUUUACUCAGUAUUAUGUUUUUUUGGUAUGAAGUCUUAUGGUACUAUAUUACGAAAGAUGAGACAUACAAUAUAGGUCUAGAUUUAUAAAUAGAUUGGACUAAGUUGAGCUAUUACAAAGUUUAAUUUUGAUUUAUUUGGCAUGGACUAUCCCACUGCUAAGAACCACAGGUAGUUGCACCCUGUUCUGAUAUUAAUGGCAGUCCUUGUUAAGUAGGUUUGCAUUUACUCCUGCCUUGACCGCUGCACACCAAGUUUGAAAUGAGAAGCAAGGAAAUGAAAUAUUUACUGCAUUUCAGACACUUGCUAAAUUUAUACUCCACAGUGACAAAACUAUGGACACAUGUCUUAGACACUCACGAAAAUGCAAAAUAUAGAAUUAAUUUUUUUGGUUAUUUUUUAAAUAAUUAAAAGAAAUUUCAUCAAAAUAAUAAUUAAAAUAAUAAAAUGUAUAAUUAAUAUUUUGUGAGUGUACCUAUAAUUUUAUGUUUGAUCUUGUGACCAUAUAAGAAUAAUCCAAUAGAUAUUCAAAAUAGUCGAUAAAUGAAAGAAUGAUAAUAUUUUUAUAAACUUUCUCUUUGACGGAAUGAAAGAAAUCUUUAUCAAUUCAUAGUUAUCACAAGUAUGAGCAAUGCACCUAUAUUGAAAAUGACACUUAUGUUGGAGUAUAUUUUUAUCUCUUCCUCCAUUUUGUUCCUUGUCAAAUGUAUCAUUCAGAUAGCACAUGACAUCAACUCAUUAACCUUUUAGUGCAUGUUUGAUAUCACGGUUAAUUUGUCAAAAUCUUGGUAUCAAACAUGCGCUCACUAGUCCGCUAGCUAUGAGGUGCUCCCUAGCUGCCAUAUUCCUCCAAUACAAAUUCAACAUAACAUUCUGUGUGUAUAUACAGUUUUCGACUUUUAUAGUUUCUUUUUUCUCUUAUCGGUCACACACAUUCAAAUUGUUUUUUAUGCAAUGUCAGAUUCUAUGUCUAAUUUUUGUGUGUCUAGACAACACAACUCUUCAACAUUUUAAAGAAAUAAUUGAAAAAACUUUGUAAGAUAUUGUCAUACAUGUCGAGUUCAAAGUGUAAAUUCGAGUCCUUUGUUACAUGACACAACAAUGUUGCCAAGUUUUUAUCGACUUCGAACUUGAUAUUCAAAUAUUUUAUUCCAGCAUCUUCUAUGUUCCUUUGCAUGCUGUCUUGUAAAAAUCGAGUGAUAAUAUCAUAGCUUCAUAAUUUUUUAUUUUAUUCCUAUGCCGACAUAUAAACCUGUUUUUGACAAUUAUUAUGUUGUUGUAACAUGUGCAAAGAAACAAAACCAACCGAGUCUUUUCCAUAAAAAGUAAUAAACCGUGGUUAUACUGACACAGUUACACUUUUACACUAUGGGAAAAUCUAGUACUUUGGUUCAUUCUUCUAGAUUUUUUCUUCUUCUUCUUCUUCUUCUUCUCAAUGUCACUGUUUCUGAAGCAUCCCCAACAGAAGAAUCAGUGUACACCUCAUUUCUUGAGUGUUUAACAAACCACACAAACCCUUCAGACCAAGUCUCCAACAUACUCUUUUCUCAAACCAAUGUUUCUUUUUCUUCUAUUCUCCAAGCAUAUAUUCGUAAUGCUCGAUUAAACAAAACUUCAACACCAAAACCCUUACUAAUCAUUACUCCUCUGCAACAAUCCCAUGUUCAAGCUACCAUACUUUGUGCCAAAGCCAUUAAAAUUCAACUCAAAGUAAGGAGUGGUGGCCAUGACUUUGAAGGUAUCUCAUAUGUCUCUAACCAACCCUUCAUUAUUCUUGACAUGUUUCAGUUCAGGAACAUCACUGUUGACAUACAAAAUGAGGUUGCUGUGGUUCAGUCUGGUGCUAUACUUGGUGAGGUUUAUUAUAGGAUAUGGGAGAAGAGUAAAGUUCAUGGCUUUCCUGCUGGGGUUUGUAUUACUGUUGGUGUUGGUGGUCACUUGAGUGGUGGAGGGUAUGGUAACAUGAUGAGAAAAUUUGGGUUGUCUAUUGAUAAUGUUGUUGAUGCUGAAAUUGUUGAUGUUAAUGGUAGGAUUCUUGAUAGGAAAUCAAUGGGUGAAGAACUUUUUUGGGCUAUUAGAGGAGGUGGAGGAGCAAGUUUUGGAGU
This 43897-nucleotide long non-coding RNA is filed under the name Medicago truncatula (barrel medic). RNAcentral describes it as "long non-coding RNA (MTRU_LNC002244)". The record is from RNAcentral. Lineage: Eukaryota; Viridiplantae; Streptophyta; Magnoliopsida; Fabales; Fabaceae.